Ahaetulla prasina is the source of this 1586-nucleotide long non-coding RNA. RefSeq lists it as uncharacterized. The transcript is spliced from 2 exons. NCBI's taxonomy places the organism in Eukaryota, Metazoa, Chordata, Lepidosauria, Squamata, Colubridae. The record is from RefSeq and is a predicted model, not a curated record.
CAGCCGUAGAGAGAGGAGGCAAGGAGGAAGAGUAAAUUACGCACAAAGCAAGCUAUGAUAAGGACUGAAGUUUGGACAACAAAGUCAAAAUGUUGUUUGGCGUUUGACAGAUCGGACUGAGACUUGCAGUUUUGAAUUAGAUAAACAACGGAGUUGAGCUCGAUCAAUUUUACAUUAUCACCUCAACCUCGGUGGAACUUUAUUCUGCUCAACUUGGCAAUGCUCUUCCUUUGUGAAAUAAGGCAGUUGCUAAGUUGCGCGCUCUGGUCAACUGUGACAGACCUGGGCUAUCCUAGACCACAGAGUUGACUGCAAAAAAAAAAAAAAGGAAAAUGACUUCAGUCAAGAAGAAUAAGUCUUCCUGCCCACUUCAGUCAAAUAUGGUCCUCACCAAGCUGCCUGUGUUAUAAGAGUGGUCUCUAUAGGAUAGGAAGUUAGCACCCACCCACCUCCUAGCAGAAUGAAAUAUUCUAGGAAAUAUUAAAAAGGCAGAAUAUUAUACCUCCCUGGAUGAGAAAAGGAGAAACAUGCUCUUGGAAAGCAGCCCCCACCUUUGCUAAUAGCCCCAGAAAGGCUGGGCCAGUUUAUCUACAACACAAAAGACCUUCACCCUCAGGACAUAAUAGGAUUAGCCCUCUACCCAUCUCACUACAUGGCACCUGAGAAGGUUACAUCACCCAGCAAGAUUCAACCAAGCCUGGGACUCAAACAACCUACAAAGUUACCCCUGCAUGGCCCCAUGGGAGUCUGACAACCAAUCAGGAUACAUUUCUUGCCACAAGAACAGGAAGCAAAUUCAAAGCUCAACAGAGGGUAUAAAUCUUUCUCCCUCUCUCACCCAUGGACUCAUUUUGCCCAGGACAACAUAUGUGAUUUGCAGAGGCCAUGAUGAAUAUCUCCUUCCUCCUCCUCCUUCUUCUCUCUCUCUCUAUCUCUGCCCCUCCCUCCCCGGAUGAGAGGGAAAAGAGGGAGAUUCUAAGGUCAACUUCUGAUAAUAUGGGAGCCUAAGAGAACAUAUGGCCUUGCAAUUAUUCCUGUUUUCAACUAUAUGUAGGGUGUGUUGAUUCAAGAAAGCAUCUUUGAUACGACUACUCUGUAUUUACCAUUGAAUCAACAAAAACAUUUCUUCAGAGCUCUCGUUUUUGAUGGAUUGAAGCAAAAACAAAAUGACUGCUGCUUCUGCCAACAUUAAAUCGCUGCACAUGUGAAAACAUUAUUCCGAUCUAAAUUUACAUGAAAACUGAAUUGUUUUGAAUAUUGUGCUUCUGGCAAUCCUGGAAGUAGUCUUAUUACUCUACUCCUUAACAUGGAGCAAGGAUGACACCUAGUGGCCAAACAGGUGUUUGAAUUUUAAAAUGUUCCGGACAUAAACUGUAUAAUUAGAAAAACUAUGAUGGAACUUCAUUGGUGUUUUAGACUAGUAUGCUUAAAACAAUCAGUGCCUGACUAAUGAAGACAUUUUUAACAUUUAUUUUAAAAAUCAAAGUAACAGCGGGAAAUAAAGCAUUUAUAUUAAUAUCCCGCCAUUUAGUUUAUCAAAAUGACAUAGUUUGAACCAAUAUAUUAAAAAAAUCUAUUUACAUGUA